This 483-nucleotide ribosomal RNA is filed under the name uncultured bacterium. RNAcentral's name for it is "partial 16S ribosomal RNA". It matches the Rfam family "Bacterial small subunit ribosomal RNA", at positions 28 to 507 of the family's 1533-position model. The record is from RNAcentral.
GACGAACGCUGGCGGCGUGCUUAACACAUGCAAGUCGAACGCUGAAGCUCAGCUUUUGUUGGGUGGAUGAGUGGCGAACGGGUGAGUAACACGUGAGUAACCUGCCUCCUUCUUUGGGAUAACGCCCGGAAACGGGUGCUAAUACUGGAUAUUCACUGGUCUUCGCAUGGGGGUUGGUGGAAAGGGUUUUUCUGGUGGGGGAUGGGCUCGCGGCCUAUCAGCUUGUUGGUGGGGUGAUGGCCUACCAAGGCUUUGACGGGUAGCCGGCCUGAGAGGGUGACCGGUCACAUUGGGACUGAGAUACGGCCCAGACUCCUACGGGGGGCAGCAGUGGGGAAUAUGGCACAAUGGGCGAAAGCCUGAUGCAGCGACGCCGCGGGAGGGAUGGGGGCCUUCGGGUUGUGAACCUCUUUCGCUAAUGGUCAAGCCGCAACAAUGGUUGUGGUGAGGGUAGUGGGUAAAGAAGCGCCGGCUAACUACGUG